GACGAACGCUGGCGGCGUGCUUAACACAUGCAAGUCGAACGGUAAGGCCCUUCGGGGUACACGAGUGGCGAACGGGUGAGUAACACGUGGGUGAUCUGCCCUGCACUUCGGGAUAAGCCUGGGAAACUGGGUCUAGUACCGGGUAGGACCACUGCCUGCAUGGGUGGUGGUGGAAAGCUUUUGCGGUGUGGGAUGGGCCCGCGGCCUAUCAGCUUGUUGGUGGGGUGAUGGCCUACCAAGGCGACGACGGGUAGCCGGCCUGAGAGGGUGACCGGCCACACUGGGACUGAGAUACGGCCCAGACUCCUACGGGAGGCAGCAGUGGGGAAUAUUGCACAAUGGGCGCAAGCCUGAUGCAGCGACGCCGCGUGAGGGAUGACGGCCUUCGGGUUGUAAACCUCUUUCAGCACCGACGAAGCGCAAGUGACGGUAGGUGCAGAAGAAGGACCGGCCAACUACGUGCCAGCCGCCGCGGUAA
RNAcentral lists this ribosomal RNA (478 nucleotides) under uncultured bacterium. RNAcentral describes it as "partial 16S ribosomal RNA". It matches the Rfam family "Bacterial small subunit ribosomal RNA", at positions 28 to 523 of the family's 1533-position model. The record is from RNAcentral.